Capra hircus (goat) is the source of this 599-nucleotide long non-coding RNA. RefSeq lists it as uncharacterized. Lineage: Eukaryota; Metazoa; Chordata; Mammalia; Artiodactyla; Bovidae. The record is from RefSeq and is a predicted model, not a curated record. The transcript is spliced from 5 exons.
GCCCAGGUUUCUACCGCCCUAGGGCUCAUCUAAAACCUAAGAUGGCGGCAUUUGCAUAGGGUGUAAGCGCUGCAGGCAUACUUUAUGUGAAAAGACGGCCAAAGGACGAGUCUCCUAAGGAAUGUCCAGAAACUUGCGGAUUAUUUGUGUUGUGAUUGGACAGGGAGGCUAGAAACGGCUGGAUUUGGGUGCUUCCCUUCCUGUCAGAGGCUGGAGGACCCUGAUGCUGGGUGUUUUUUGUUUUGUUUUGGCUGCUCUACACUGCCUGUGGAAUUUUGUUCUCAAACCAGGGAUCGAACCCCGUGAUCCCUGCAGUGUAGAAUCUUAACCACUGGACUACCAGAUAUUGAAAAUUCCUUGCGUCCAUGGGAUAAAUUCCACUUGUUCAUGAUCCCAUGUAGACUACUACAAAGUUUCUCAACAAAAGAUUAGCAAACCGAACCCAACAUCACAUAAAAAAAUCAUACACCACAACCAAGUAGAAUUCAUCCCAAGUUCAAAAGGAUAGUUCAACAUAUGCAAAUCAAUCAAGGUAUUUUUAAUUUCUUCUUUAUUACUGACCCAUUCAUGGACCACAGCCUUGUCUAACUCAGUGAAAU